GAUGAACGCUGGCGGCGUGCCUAAUACAUGCAAGUCGAGCGAACAGACGAGGAGCUUGCUCCUCUGACGUUAGCGGCGGACGGGUGAGUAACACGUGGAUAACCUACCUAUAAGACUGGGAUAACUUCGGGAAACCGGAGCUAAUACCGGAUAAUAUAUUGAACCGCAUGGUUCAAUAGUUAAAGACGGUUUUGCUGUCACUUAUAGAUGGAUCCGCGCCGCAUUAGCUAGUUGGUAAGGUAACGGCUUACCAAGGCAACGAUGCGUAGCCGACCUGAGAGGGUGAUCGGCCACACUGGAACUGAGACACGGUCCAGACUCCUACGGGAGGCAGCAGUAGGGAAUCUUCCGCAAUGGGCGAAAGCCUGACGGAGCAACGCCGCGUGAGUGAUGAAGGUCUUCGGAUCGUAAAACUCUGUUAUUAGGGAAGAACAGAUGUGUAAGUAACUAUGCACGUCUUGACGGUACCUAAUCAGAAAGCCACGGCUAACUACGUG
This 497-nucleotide ribosomal RNA is filed under the name uncultured bacterium. Its description in RNAcentral is "partial 16S ribosomal RNA". It matches the Rfam family "Bacterial small subunit ribosomal RNA", at positions 28 to 507 of the family's 1533-position model. The record is from RNAcentral.